RNAcentral lists this ribosomal RNA (497 nucleotides) under uncultured bacterium. Its description in RNAcentral is "partial 16S ribosomal RNA". It matches the Rfam family "Bacterial small subunit ribosomal RNA", at positions 28 to 507 of the family's 1533-position model. The record is from RNAcentral.
GAUGAACGCUGGCGGCGUGCCUAAUACAUGCAAGUCGAGCGAACAGACGAGGAGCUUGCUCCUCUGACGUUAGCGGCGGACGGGUGAGUAACACGUGGAUAACCUACCUAUAAGACUGGGAUAACUUCGGGAAACCGGAGCUAAUACCGGAUAAUAUAUUGAACCGCAUGGUUCAAUAGUGAAAGACGGUUUUGCUGUCACUUAUAGAUGGAUCAGCGCCGCAUUAGCUAGUUGGUAAGGUAACGGCUUACCAAGGCAGCGAUGCGUAGCCGACCUGAGCGGGUGAUUGGCCACACUGGAUCUGAGACACGGUCCAGACUCCGACGGUAGGAAGCAGUAGGGAAUCUUCCGCAAUGGGCGAAAGCCUAACGGUGCAACGCCGCGUGAAUGAUGAAGGUCUUCGGAUCGUUAAACUCUGUUAUUAGGAAAGAACAAAUGUGUAAGUAACUAUGCACGUCUUGACGGUACCUAAUCAGAAAGCCACGGCUAACUACGUG